Molecule: long non-coding RNA, 256 nt
Filed under: Astyanax mexicanus (Mexican tetra)
Lineage: Eukaryota; Metazoa; Chordata; Actinopteri; Characiformes; Acestrorhamphidae
Description: lncRNA (ENSAMXG00005013604.1)
Source: RNAcentral
AUGCAGCCAAAUACAUCACUGAAGGUUCUUCUGCUGCCACUGCCCUUGCACUGGCUCCGUGAUGAAUGGCUCAUAAGACUUGAAAGUCGAACAAAGCAUCUCAAGAACUUCCGUGACGCACAGGCCGUAAAACUAACAUCAGCCAAGCAAACAGAUAAAGAAUGAUAAGUUGUACAUUUCUAAUGUAAAAUUAUCCAAAUGUUUCUUAAUAAUACAGAUCAAUAAAACAUCACAAAAUAUCUCUGCCUCCUCUCUC